UGGCUUAGUGGUAAAGAAUCUGCCUGCCAAGCAGGAGAUGCGGGUUCAACUCCUGG
Molecule: transfer RNA, 56 nt
Filed under: Bos indicus x Bos taurus (hybrid cattle)
Lineage: Eukaryota; Metazoa; Chordata; Mammalia; Artiodactyla; Bovidae
Also listed under: 1 other name
Rfam family: tRNA
About the family: Transfer RNA (tRNA) molecules are approximately 80 nucleotides in length. Their secondary structure includes four short double-helical elements and three loops (D, anti-codon, and T loops). Further hydrogen bonds mediate the characteristic L-shaped molecular structure. tRNAs have two regions of fundamental functional importance: the anti-codon, which is responsible for specific mRNA codon recognition, and the 3' end, to which the tRNAs corresponding amino acid is attached (by aminoacyl-tRNA synthetases). tRNAs cope with the degeneracy of the genetic code in two manners: having more than one tRNA (with a specific anti-codon) for a particular amino acid; and 'wobble' base-pairing, i.e. permitting non-standard base-pairing at the 3rd anti-codon position.
Source: Rfam by way of RNAcentral